This 253-nucleotide ribosomal RNA is filed under the name uncultured bacterium. Its description in RNAcentral is "partial 16S ribosomal RNA". It matches the Rfam family "Bacterial small subunit ribosomal RNA", at positions 524 to 776 of the family's 1533-position model. The record is from RNAcentral.
UACAUAGGAUGCAAGCGUUAUCCGGAAUUACUGGGCGUAAAGGGUUCGUAGGCGGUUUUUUAAGUAAGGGGUGAAAUCUUCGGGCUCAACCCGAAAACUGCUUCUUAAACUGGAAGACUUGAGGGAGGGAGAGGCUGACGGAAUUCUGCAAGUAGGGGUAAAAUCCGUUGAUCUGCAGAGGAACAUCAAAAGCGAAGGCAGUCAGCUGGACCUCUUCUGACGCUGAGGAACGAAAGCGUGGGUAGCGAACGGG